AACCUCUCAAGGUAGCACCUGGAGAGUUUCCAGUACUCUACCAGUCUCUACUACAGGAGGGAGAGUCAAGCAGAUGCAUACCCAAUUCAUUCCUAGCUUGGCCAGUGGCUAGUGAGUGGAAGGCAAUCUGCUACAAGU
Molecule: small nucleolar RNA, 138 nt
Organism: Tachyglossus aculeatus (Australian echidna)
Lineage: Eukaryota; Metazoa; Chordata; Mammalia; Monotremata; Tachyglossidae
Source: RefSeq, a predicted model, not a curated record